Molecule: ribosomal RNA, 253 nt
Filed under: uncultured bacterium
Lineage: Bacteria
Description: partial 16S ribosomal RNA
Rfam family: Bacterial small subunit ribosomal RNA
Source: RNAcentral
GACAGAGGGUGCAAGCGUUGUUCGGAAUUACUGGGCGUAAAGGGCGCGUAGGCGGCCUUCUAAGUCAGACGUGAAAUCCCUCGGCUCAACCGGGGAACUGCGUCUGAUACUGAGUGGCUUGAGUGCAGGAGAGGAAUGCGGAAUUCCAGGUGUAGCGGUGAAAUGCGUAGAUAUCUGGAGGAACACCGGUGGCGAAGGCGGCAUUCUGGACUGUAACUGACACUGAGGAACGAAAGCCAGGGGAGCAAACGGG